Molecule: ribosomal RNA, 318 nt
Filed under: uncultured eukaryote
Lineage: Eukaryota
Description: partial 18S ribosomal RNA
Rfam family: Eukaryotic small subunit ribosomal RNA
Source: RNAcentral
CCCUUAGAUGUUCGGGGCCGCACGCGCGCUACACUGAAGGAAUCAGCGUGCCGUCGUCCUGGCCCGGAAGGGCCGGGCAACCCGUUGAACCUCCUUCGUGCUAGGGAUCGGGGCUUGCAAUUCUUGCCCGUGAACGAGGAAUUCCCAGUAAGCGCGAGUCAUCAGCUCGUGCUGAUUACGUCCCUGCCCUUUGUACACACCGCCCGUCGCUGCAACUGAUUGGGUGACCUGGUGAACAUCUUGGACCGGCCCACUCAAUUUCGAGAGGACUGGAAAAGGCCGUAAAUCAGGUACAUCUAGAAAUUGCAAGUCGUAACA